RNAcentral lists this ribosomal RNA (903 nucleotides) under Triticum aestivum (bread wheat). RNAcentral's name for it is "partial small subunit ribosomal RNA". Lineage: Eukaryota; Viridiplantae; Streptophyta; Magnoliopsida; Poales; Poaceae. The record is from RNAcentral.
AUGGCAGCGACCUCCUUCUCCUACGCCGUCGCGGUCGCUCUACUCUGCCUGCUCGCCGCCAAUGGCUGCUGCGGCUGCCCUGGACCCGCUCCUGCCCCCACACCUGCCCCCGCUACCCCCAGCCCCGUCCCCGUUACACCUCCACCUGCGCCCGCUACCCCCAGCCCAGGCUCCGGUUCGGGCAGCACCAACGACUCCUCCGGCGGUUGGUUGGACGCCAGGGCCACCUGGUACGGCGCCCCCGAUGGCGCCGGGCCAUUGGACAAUGGUGGCGCGUGCGGCUUCAAGAACGUGAACCUGCCGCCGCUCAACGCCAUGACGUCGUGCGGCAACGAGCCGCUCUUCAAGGACGGCAAGGGAUGCGGCUCCUGCUACCAGAUAAGAUGCGUGGGAAAGGCUCACCCGGCGUGCUCCGGCGUCCCCGAGACGGUGAUCAUCACGGACAUGAACUACUACCCCGUGGCCCGCUACCACUUCGACCUUAGCGGCACUGCCUUCGGCGCCAUGGCCAAGGAUGGCCGCAACGACGAGCUCCGCCACGCCGGUAUCAUCGACAUGCAGUUCAAGAGGGUGCCGUGUGAGUACCCGGGGCUGUCGGUGACGUUCCACGUGGAGAAGGGGUCGAACCCGAACUACCUAGCGAUCCUGGUGGAGUACGGGAAUGGCGACGGCGACGUGGCGCAGGUCGACCUCAUGGACGACGGCGAGCCGACCGGGCCCUGGGUUCCGAUGAGGCAUUCGUGGGGCUCCAUCUGGCGCCUGGACACGCGCCGCUCGCUGCGGGGGCCCUUCUCGCUGCGGGUCACCAACGGGUCCGGCAGGUCGCUCGUUGCCGACCAGGUCAUCCCCGCCGACUGGAAGCCCGAAGCCGUCUACAGCUCCGACGUCCAGUUUGAUGGUUGA